GCCACGGUGGCGAAACUGGUAGACGCGCUGGAUUCAAAAUCCAGUUGGGGCAACUCAGUGCCGGUUCGAUUCCGGCCCGUGGUA
This 84-nucleotide transfer RNA is filed under the name Cycloclasticus sp. symbiont of Poecilosclerida sp. M. It matches the Rfam family "tRNA". From Rfam's summary of the family: Transfer RNA (tRNA) molecules are approximately 80 nucleotides in length. Their secondary structure includes four short double-helical elements and three loops (D, anti-codon, and T loops). Lineage: Bacteria; Pseudomonadati; Pseudomonadota; Gammaproteobacteria; Thiotrichales; Piscirickettsiaceae. The record is from Rfam by way of RNAcentral.